RNAcentral lists this long non-coding RNA (372 nucleotides) under Olea europaea (common olive). Its description in RNAcentral is "long non-coding RNA (OEUR_LNC013280)". Lineage: Eukaryota; Viridiplantae; Streptophyta; Magnoliopsida; Lamiales; Oleaceae. The record is from RNAcentral.
GAAAUACAACACCCAAGUAGCUUACAUUUACAUGUCUUCAGGCUACUCAAGUAGUGGCGAAAAAACAUGUCUUCAGGCAACCUUGAGGUUUUUGGCAGAGUAAUUACAUUUACAUUUUGUUAACCGUCUACUCAAGUAGUAAAUCGCCCUCUCUUCAUCAAUUUGGUUUUCUUGCGCGACCAUUCUAGCUAUUUGAUUCUUUUUCAACCGAUACAUACACUUUCAUUGGCCGUCCUUGGAUUGGUAAUACCAACACUGGUGGAUUUGAUAAAUAUGUCUUCAGGCUUCAAAAACCUUUUGAUGUUCUUCUUUCCAGACGAAUUCGUCUUGAUUUUUCAGCUUUAAAAGUGGCGAAAAAACUUUAGUUCGCCC